AUUAACAAUGAGUGUUAAUAAAAGAGGACCGUAUAAACAAUACAUAUAUGAGGAACAUAACCCCGAAAUACCAGCAUCAACAGCAUUUUCUCGAAAAAAAAAAUAGAGAACAGUAGAUGAGAGAAGUAGAUGACAUUUUAUCAUGCUUAAGUUAUACAGAAGAUGAUUCAUUAUGUUCAGAUAACUUAUCAGAGUAUGAAAUUGAUUUGGUCUCUGACAUGGACGAAUAUGAAGGAAUUCCAACUGCUAAUGACAAUAAUGUUAUUGAUAAUGCCAAUGAUCAUAAUCAAGAUCCACACAUGGAGCAGUUUCGCCAAAUACUGUACGAAGGAUGCAAUCUUUCUAAAGAAGAAAGCAAAAUGUUGCUUGUAAGUUUGGCUCUUCGUCAUCAACUGACUGAUGCUGCGUUGGAAUCUCUUAUUCAAGUAAUUGAUUGUCAUCUUCCUCGUACACAUCAUGGCUCCAAAUAUUUAUUAUUAAAGUGAUUACCAGAAAAUAAAGCGCGUAAAUAUUAUUAUUGUCCGGAAUGUUAUAUGAUAUUGAAUUUACGUACCGAUAAUAGAAUGAAAUGUGAAGUUUGUACAACAAUUUACAAAGAAAAAUAUCUCGAUAAAAGAAAUAAUUAUUUUAUGCAUAUUCCACUCAGAGAAUAAUUAAUAGAAUUAGUAAAGACUGAAGAUUUUGCACAAUUCCGAAAAACUAAAGAAAUGGAAAGUGAUAUCAUUAAUGGAAACAUUUACCGUAAUUUAAGAAGUAAAAAUAUCAUUGGAGAUAAUGACAUUACCCUCCAGUGGAAUUCAGAUGGAGUACAAUUAUUUAAGUCUUCUAUAUCAUCCAUUUGACCGAUUUUAGUUACGAUUAACGAAUUGCCUUAUCAUUUGCGAAGGCAACACAUUCUCUUAGCUGACAUAUGGUUUGACACAUCUACGAAAGCAAAUAUGAACAUUUUUCUUCAGCCAUUCGUUGAUGAACUUAUUGAUUUACAUAAUAAUGGUUUUAUUACAACAACAUUCAUGCAUAAGGAUGAAGCAAUAUGUAUUAAAGUUCAUACACUUGUAGCUCCUGUUGAUUCAAUAGCAAGGUCUAUGAUACAAAACAUAAAAUAGUUUAACGGAAAAUACGGAUGUUCAUAUUGCUAUAAUAAAGGAAAGGUAGUCAAGACAAAAAGCAGGGGUUUUAAACAUAUUUAUUGUGGAGAUGUUUAUGCUUUACGUCAUAAAUAUCAACACAACAAACAUGUUAAAAAAAGUAUUUCAAAAAAUCAUUCAGUAAAAGGCGUUAAGGGUCCUUCGGUAACACAACUUAUACCGCUCUUUGAUAUAAUUAAGUCUUUCCCGCCGGAUUAUAUGCACAGUGUUGCGGAAGGCGUAGUUAAACAGUUUGUUAUGGCGUGGUUUGAUUCCAGCAAUCAUAAUAAAGAGUGGUAUUUAGGGAAAUACCAACAAGUUUUUGAUAAUAAAUUGACAAAUAUAUUACCUCCAUCAGAAAUAACACGAAUACCACGAUCGAUAGUUCAAAGAAAAUUGUUAAGGCAUCAGAGUGGAAGAAUAUUUUACUGUACUAUUCAUUGCCUUGUUUAAGUAGAUUAAUACCAUAGAAAUUUAUUAAACUGGCUACGUUGGCUACUUUUUGUA
RNAcentral lists this long non-coding RNA (1634 nucleotides) under Camponotus floridanus (Florida carpenter ant). RNAcentral describes it as "uncharacterized LOC112639572". The record is from RNAcentral. Lineage: Eukaryota; Metazoa; Arthropoda; Insecta; Hymenoptera; Formicidae.